GAAGCAGUUUGUGAUUGUUUACGUCAAAAAGGUUCUCUUUAGUCAUUUAGCUACUUAGCUAACUAAGUAGCUAAAUAAUAUAAUAUGUGAUUGUUUACGUCAACCAGGGUAUAAGGAUGUAUGCAAUCUUUUUCUUAGGGUAAAAUUACUAUGUGCAAUAUUGCAACAAGCUAGAAUCAAUAAUAUGCUGGAAUCUGAAAUUUGAUAUAGUAGUAUUGUACCUGUUGCAGACAUCUUAUGACUCAUAAUAAAAUGAAAUGGGUUUACUCUUUUUGUCAUGCCUAGUCGCAUUUCGUAUCCCUGUUUUAGUGUAAAUGCCAUGCAUCAAAGCCUUUUCUAACAUUUGCUUAGGAAUAUUAUUUUGAAAACAUGAUCUAUUCGAUAAAACUUUCGAACUCUGGCAUUCAAACAAGUUUGGUUAUCGAUAAAAAUGGUGAAGGGGCAUUAAUUCAUAGCUUCAUGAAUGUUUUCCUUGCGUUUGUUUAGGCCUUUUAGGCUAAUGGUCGCACAUGACUUGGUAUUGUUGUAGGCCUAAUGCACUCGAAAUUAUUUAUGGAUUGUUGAGUUUAUUCUAAGUUCUCAAUGUGACAUGCAAGAAAUGCUUGCAGCACAGGCAUCUUGCCACUUGUAAAACUAUCUCCACCUCCAUGUGGAACUGGACAUCAGUAUAUAGGUGGCUCCAUUUGCCAAUUUUUGCAAUUUUUCUCCAAUUCUACACAGAACAUACAACUCCCAUCUUCUCCAUCUUUUUGUCCGGUUCUGUUUCACUUUGGUGCUCCCAAGGAUAACCUGUGCUGUAAGAAAAUAACUUCAGGAUUCAUAUCCUGAGCCUUUAAAUAUAUACUCGAACAUGCUUCAUGUUGCUCAACACGGUAUGUGUUAGAUAUAUAUGCCCUAGAAGCCAAUCUGGCUGACACAUUAAUUAUUAAUUCUGGGACAUAAAUUUGUACUUGACUUUAUUAUCAUUGAAUAAUAAAUGGGCAUCUUUUCAUUCAUAUUGCUUAUGCGUGCUCUGAUAGGUAUUCAUGGGUGUCACCCUAUUUUUAAUAGGACCGAACCCAUGUAGGAGUGGAGACUUCCCACCUAACAGUGGUAUCAGAGCCAGGUUAUGUAGAUUAAGAUUAGAAUUAAAUUUUUCAAGGCAUUUUAGAUCUGAAAAUUAAGGGAUUAUGCUUGCUGAAAUUUAUGUAUGCAGAAUUUUCAGCUUGCUGAUUUUUCUGCAUACUAAUUAUAGGAUACUUAGAUUAAUGAUUCUAAUGUUUUGAUAAUGUGAUUACAAAUGUUUAGAAUCAUAUCUUGCAUAAUCAGCAAGUCAUGAGAUGAAAUAAUCAGUUAAAUAUCAGAUCUGAAAAUAAUUUUUAUGCAUGAGAUGCGUAUGGUGAUGAUCAUGGAUGGACCCUUAUGAAUGUGCUGAAAUAUUCUGCAAUGUUCUGUGAUGCAUGUAAUUUUAAUUUUCAGAUGCCUGCGUGCAUUUUAAAUUCAUGUAUUAGAGACCUGCGUGUCUCAUGAUCAAGGGUUGUAAUUUAUUAUUUUUAUUUUUAUUUAAUUUUUAAAGCAAUCUGGGAUGUAAUCUGUGAUGUGUGAUGCACGUUGAUGGUUGAUCGAUAUGUACAUCAACAAGCUCAAUAUGCGCGGACCGAGAUCAAGGGUUGAUUGAAGACGGAUCAAGGAGUUGAUCACAAUUGGACCUAAGGG
RNAcentral lists this long non-coding RNA (1695 nucleotides) under Phoenix dactylifera (date palm). RNAcentral's name for it is "long non-coding RNA (PDAC_LNC014086)". Lineage: Eukaryota; Viridiplantae; Streptophyta; Magnoliopsida; Arecales; Arecaceae. The record is from RNAcentral.